AUUGAACGCUGGCGGCAGGCUUAACACAUGCAAGUCGAGCGGGGGAAGGUAGCUUGCUACCGGACCUAGCGGCGGACGGGUGAGUAAUGCUUAGGAAUCUGCCUAUUAGUGGGGGACAACAUCUCGAAAGGGAUGCUAAUACUGCAUACGUCCUACGGGAGAAAGCAGGGGAUCUUCGGACCUUGCGCUAAUAGAUGAGCCUAAGUCGGAUUAGCUAGUUGGUGGGGUAAAGGCCUACCAAGGCGACGAUCUGUAGCGGGUCUGAGAGGAUGAUCCGCCACACUGGGACUGAGACACGGCCCAGACUCCUACGGGAGGCAGCAGUGGGGAAUAUUGGACAAUGGGGGGAACCCUGAUCCAGCCAUGCCGCGUGUGUGAAGAAGGCCUUAUGGUUGUAAAGCACUUUAAGCGAGGAGGAGGCUACUUUAGUUAAUACCUAGAGAUAGUGGACGUUACUCGCAGAAUAAGCACCGGCUAACUCUGUGCCAGCAGCCGCGGUAAUACAGAGGGUGCGAGCGUUAAUCGGAUUUACUGGGCGUAAAGCGUGCGUAGGCGGCUUAUUAAGUCGGAUGUGAAAUCCCCGAGCUUAACUUGGGAAUUGCAUUCGAUACUGGUGAGCUAGAGUAUGGGAGAGGAUGGUAGAAUUCCAGGUGUAGCGGUGAAAUGCGUAGAGAUCUGGA
Molecule: ribosomal RNA, 680 nt
Filed under: Acinetobacter baumannii OIFC083
Lineage: Bacteria; Pseudomonadati; Pseudomonadota; Gammaproteobacteria; Moraxellales; Moraxellaceae
Description: bacterial SSU rRNA
Rfam family: Bacterial small subunit ribosomal RNA
Source: RNAcentral